GAAGUAAAAGUCGUAACAAGGUUUCCGUAGGUGAACCUGCGGAAGGAUCAUUAUCGAAUUACCGGGGGGUUGAUGCUGGCAGUCUUUGGUUGCAUGUGCUCACUCUCCUUUAAUCCAUUCACACAUGUGCACUAAUUUCCUUUUUGAAGGCAGAGGUUGAAAAGUCUGCCUUUGGAAUUGAUAAACUCUUAUUCUAUGUAAUGGAUGCUAUUCUGCCACAAGGCGAAAUUUAAUACAACUUUUAACAACGGAUCUCUUGGCUCUCGCAUCGAUGAAGAACGCAGCGAAAUGCGAUAAGUAAUGUGAAUUGCAGAAUUCAGUGAAUCAUCGAAUCUUUGAACGCACCUUGCACCCUCUGGUAUUCCGGAGGGUAUGCCUGUUCGAGUGUCAUGAGACUCUCAAACUAAGAUGGCUUUGUUGCUAUCUUUGUUUGGAUUUGGACUGUGCUGCGUUAAUGCAGCUGGUCUUAAAUGGAUUAGCUGGUCCUUAUGAAAGAUUUGGUUCUACUCAGCGUGAUAAUUAUCUGACGUUGAGGACAGUCUUAGGACUGGCCAGAGCUAUCUUUGGACUGCUUCUAA
This 578-nucleotide ribosomal RNA is filed under the name uncultured Sistotrema. Its description in RNAcentral is "eukaryotic LSU rRNA". The stretch from base 237 to 390 matches the Rfam family "5.8S ribosomal RNA". Lineage: Eukaryota; Fungi; Basidiomycota; Agaricomycetes; Corticiales; Corticiaceae. The record is from RNAcentral.